Molecule: unclassified non-coding RNA, 187 nt
Filed under: Mycobacterium avium
Lineage: Bacteria; Bacillati; Actinomycetota; Actinomycetes; Mycobacteriales; Mycobacteriaceae
Description: partial 16S-23S ribosomal RNA intergenic spacer
Source: RNAcentral
AAGGAGCACCACGAAAAGCACCCCAACUGGUGGGGUGCGAGCCGUGAGGGGUUCCCGUCUGUAGUGGACGGGGGCCGGGUGCGCAACAGCAAAUGAUUGCCAGACACACUAUUGGGCCCUGAGACAACACUCGGUCCGUCCGUGUGGAGUCCCUCCAUCUUGGUGGUGGGGUGUGGUGUUUGAGUAU